UUAAUCAAAGCCAAAUUUCAGAGGCAUAUUAUUGUUAAUAAUAUCAUUGGCUUACUAGCCUGAUUAAA
RNAcentral lists this transfer RNA (68 nucleotides) under Thaumastocoris safordi. RNAcentral's name for it is "tRNA-Asn". The record is from RNAcentral. Lineage: Eukaryota; Metazoa; Arthropoda; Insecta; Hemiptera; Thaumastocoridae.